This 254-nucleotide ribosomal RNA is filed under the name uncultured bacterium. RNAcentral's name for it is "partial 16S ribosomal RNA". It matches the Rfam family "Bacterial small subunit ribosomal RNA", at positions 524 to 776 of the family's 1533-position model. The record is from RNAcentral.
UACAGAGGGGGCAAGCGUUUGUUCGGAAUUACUGGGCGUAAAGGGCGCGUAGGCGGCCUCUUAAGUCGAACGUGAAAUCCCCGGGCUCAACCCGGGAACUGCGUCCGAUACUGGGGGGCUUGAAUUCGGGAGAGGGAUGCAGAAUUCCAGGUGUAGCGGUGAAAUGCGUAGAUAUCUGGAGGAAUACCGGUGGCGAAGGCGGCAUCCUGGACCGACAUUGACGCUGAGGAGCGAAAGCUAGGGGAGCAAACAGG